UGUUAAGAUCUACAACUCUGGGGCUGAGAUGUUAGAACCUUUAGAAAAACGCCUUCCUAUCAGAAAGGCCCGAUUUUUGAGAGUUUUAAUUCUGCACAGAGAAGAGAGUCUUUGAUGUCAGAAAAAAAGACUGUCCUAUGUGAAGCCCGGCAUGUUUCUCAGCAACCAGAGAUCCUAGGUUGAUGGUCAAGAGAUUGAGGAAUUUAACCCUUUCUCUACUGUGAUAAAUUCAAUAGAGCAUUCAACUUUGUGCAAAAGACAUUCUUUAAAGUAAGAAAUAAAUUUCAGUGAAAGAAACUUG
Non-coding RNA from Phascolarctos cinereus (koala), 301 nucleotides. The record is from RefSeq and is a predicted model, not a curated record. Lineage: Eukaryota; Metazoa; Chordata; Mammalia; Diprotodontia; Phascolarctidae.